ACUCACCACUUUCAAUCUAUCUACUGCUGCUAAUCUAUCUAUCACUGCUAAUCUAUUGCUGCUAAUCUAUCACUGCUAAUCUAUCUACUGCUGUCAAUCUAUCUACUGCUGCCAAUCUAUCUAUCACUGCUAAUCUAUUGCUGCUAAUCUAUUGCUGCUAAUCUAUUGCUGCUAAUCUAUUGCUGCUAAUCUAUUGCUGCUAAUCUAUUGCUGCUAAUCUAUUGCUGCUAAUCUAUUGCUGCCAAUCUACCUACCGCUGCCAAUCUACCUACUGCUGCCAAUCUAUCUAUCACUGCUAAUCUAUUGCUGCUAAUCUAUUGCUGCUAAUCUAUCGCUGCUAAUCUAUUGCUGCUAAUCUAUCGCUGCCAACCUAUCUACCGCUGCCAAUCUAUCUACCGCUGCCAAUCUAUCUAUCACUGCUAAUCUAUCGCUGCUAAUCUAUCGCUGCUAAUCUAUCGCUGCUAAUCUAUCACUGCUAAUCUAUCGCUGCUAAUCUAUCGCUGCUAAUCUAUCGCCGCCAACCUACCUACUGCUGUCAACCUAUCUACCACUGUCAACCUAUCUAUCACUGCCAAUCUAUAUAGGGUAAAUCAUGGUCCCAUUUGAUUCCAUUUUGUAAAAUGGAACCAAAUGAGACCAGAAUCACUAAUUUAUUAGUAAAACAUGAUCUGAGAUUAGAUUUAUAAUAUAAACAGUGUAAAGUGACUAAUUUGCUAAACACUAUAUGAGAUCAGAACUAAGAUAUCUAAUAAUAAGACUGAGGAAAAAUUUGAUUCCAGUUCCAUGCAUGAUCACACAGUCAGUCU
This 806-nucleotide small RNA is filed under the name Histoplasma capsulatum. RNAcentral's name for it is "hypothetical RNA". The record is from RNAcentral. Lineage: Eukaryota; Fungi; Ascomycota; Eurotiomycetes; Onygenales; Ajellomycetaceae. RNAcentral also lists the same sequence under 1 other name.